GAUAAACGCUGGCGGCGUGCCUAAUACAUGCAAGUCGAGCGAACAGACGAGGAGCUUGCUCCUCUGACGUUAGCGGCGGACGGGUGAGUAACACGUGGAUAACCUACCUAUAAGACUGGGAUAACUUCGGGAAACCGGAGCUAAUACCGGAUAAUAUAUUGAACCGCAUGGUUCAAUAGUGAAAGACGGUUUUGCUGUCACUUAUAGAUGGAUCCGCGCCGCAUUAGCUAGUUGGUAAGGUAACGGCUUACCAAGGCAACGAUGCGUAGCCGACCUGAGAGGGUGAUCGGCCACACUGGAACUGAGACACGGUCCAGACUCCUACGGGAGGCAGCAGUAGGGAAUCUUCCGCAAUGGGCGAAAGCCUGACGGAGCAACGCCGCGUGAGUGAUGAAGGUCUUCGGAUCGUAAAACUCUGUUAUUAGGGAAGAACAAAUGUGUAGGUAACUAUGCACGUCUUGACGGUACCUAAUCAGAAAGCCACGGCUAACUACGUG
RNAcentral lists this ribosomal RNA (497 nucleotides) under uncultured bacterium. Its description in RNAcentral is "partial 16S ribosomal RNA". It matches the Rfam family "Bacterial small subunit ribosomal RNA", at positions 28 to 507 of the family's 1533-position model. The record is from RNAcentral.